Molecule: ribosomal RNA, 468 nt
Filed under: uncultured bacterium
Lineage: Bacteria
Description: partial 16S ribosomal RNA
Rfam family: Bacterial small subunit ribosomal RNA
Source: RNAcentral
GACGAACGCUGGCGGCGUGCUUAACACAUGCAAGUCGAACGGAAAGGCCCUGCUUUUGUGGGGUGCUCGAGUGGCGAACGGGUGAGUAACACGUGAGUAACCUGCCCUUGACUUUGGGAUAACUUCAGGAAACUGGGGCUAAUACCGGAUAGGAGCUCCUGCUGCAUGGUGGGGGUUGGAAAGUUUCGGCGGUUGGGGAUGGACUCGCGGCUUAUCAGCUUGUUGGUGGGGUAGUGGCUUACCAAGGCUUUGACGGGUCGCCGGCCUGAGAGGGUGACCGGGCACCAUGGGACUGAGAUACGGCCCAGACUGCUACGGGAGGCAGCAGGGGGGAAUAUGGCACAAAGGGCGGAAGCCUGAUGCAGCAACGCCGGGGGCGGGAUGACGGCCUUUGGGUUGUAAACCGCUUUCGGCUGUGACGAAGCGGGUGUGACGGUAAUGGGUAAAGAAGCACCGGCUAACUACGUG